Molecule: ribosomal RNA, 519 nt
Filed under: uncultured bacterium
Lineage: Bacteria
Description: partial 16S ribosomal RNA
Rfam family: Bacterial small subunit ribosomal RNA
Source: RNAcentral
GACGAACGCUGGCGGCGUGCCUAAUACAUGCAAGUCGAGCGAGCUUGCCUAGAUGAAUUUGGUGCUUGCACCCGAUGAAACUAGAUACAAGCGAGCGGCGGACGGGUGAGUAACACGUGGGUAACCUGCCCAAGAGACUGGGAUAACACCUGGAAACAGAUGCUAAUACCGGAUAACAACACUAGACGCAUGUCUAGAGUUUAAAAGAUGGUUCUGCUAUCACUCUUGGAUGGACCUGCGGUGCAUUAGCUAGUUGGUAAGGCAACGGCUUACCAAGGCAAUGAUGCAUAGCCGAGUUGAGAGACUGAUCGGCCACAUUGGGACUGAGACACGGCCCAAACUCCUACGGGAGGCAGCAGUAGGGAAUCUUCCACAAUGGACGCAAGUCUGAUGGAGCAACGCCGCGUGAGUGAAGAAGGGUUUCGGCUCGUAAAGCUCUGUUGAUAGUGAAGAAAGAUAGAGGUAGUAACUGGCCUUUAUUUGACGGUAAUUACUUAGAAAGUCACGGCUAACUACGUG